CAUUGAAACACCAGUUCCCAUAUGAUCACCAAAGUUAAGCAAUGUUGAGCUUGGUCAGUACCUAGAUGGGUGACCACUAAGGAAUAUUAUGUGCUA
Molecule: non-coding RNA, 96 nt
Organism: Acanthosepion pharaonis
Lineage: Eukaryota; Metazoa; Mollusca; Cephalopoda; Sepiida; Sepiidae
Source: the annotation of a GenBank genome assembly